ACUAUAUAAAGCAGGUCAGGUGUCAUCCCAGACUCAAUAGAGAAGCCGGUGCGAAACCGGUGCGGUCCCGCCGCUGUAUGGAGGAGCUAAGCUGCAGAUAUCGCCACUGUAUCCCAGAGGGUAUGGGAAGGCGCAGCGCUGCUAUGAUCCCAAGCCAGAAGAACUGCCUGACUGAUAAUCACCGA
Molecule: non-coding RNA, 185 nt
Filed under: Megasphaera cerevisiae
Lineage: Bacteria; Bacillati; Bacillota; Negativicutes; Veillonellales; Veillonellaceae
Also listed under: 1 other name
Source: RNAcentral